This 253-nucleotide ribosomal RNA is filed under the name uncultured bacterium. Its description in RNAcentral is "partial 16S ribosomal RNA". It matches the Rfam family "Bacterial small subunit ribosomal RNA", at positions 524 to 776 of the family's 1533-position model. The record is from RNAcentral. RNAcentral also lists the same sequence under 1 other name.
AACGUAGGAGGCGAGCGUUAUCCGGAUUUACUGGGUGUAAAGCGCGUGCAGGCGGUUCGUUAAGUUGGAUGUGAAAGCUCCCGGCUCAACUGGGAGAGGUCGUACAAGACUGGCGGACUGGAGUGUGGUAGGGGAAGGUGGAAUUCCGGGUGUAGUGGUGAAAUGCGUAGAUAUCCGGAGGAACACCAGUGGCGAAGGCGGCCUUCUAGACCACAACUGACGCUCAGACGCGAAAGCUAGGGUAGCAAACGGG